RNAcentral lists this long non-coding RNA (330 nucleotides) under Prunus persica (peach). RNAcentral describes it as "long non-coding RNA (PPER_LNC004997)". Lineage: Eukaryota; Viridiplantae; Streptophyta; Magnoliopsida; Rosales; Rosaceae. The record is from RNAcentral.
ACAAUUUGAAGAAUGACCUAUCAAUUUAAUCCACAUAGAAAGGUCAUUUUGACUUUCUUUUUGGAUCUAAUCACAAUUACCUUACUUUUUCUUUUCUUUUUUUCGUGUUUAAGUGCAUAUUUUUUUUGCCCUUUCCCUUUUUGGAUCUAAUCACAAUAACAUAAUAUAUAUUUGCAAAAACUGAGAAUUAUGAUUUAUACUUUUUUUUUUUAUAAUCCAAAAGAGAAUUAUGAUAUGAUUUAUACAUUCGUAUAAGUCAGUAAUAGUGUAGAGAAAGCAAUUUAAUAUUUUUAGAUAUUUUUACGUUAGAAAACCUUAAUACAUGUCGAC